Molecule: ribosomal RNA, 130 nt
Filed under: Simulium sp. 6 BR-2011
Lineage: Eukaryota; Metazoa; Arthropoda; Insecta; Diptera; Simuliidae
Description: partial 28S ribosomal RNA
Rfam family: Eukaryotic large subunit ribosomal RNA
Source: RNAcentral
UAGCCUCAACUCAUGUGAGACUACCCCCCGAAUUUAAUCAUAUUAUUAAAGGGAGGAAAAGAAACUAAAUAUGAUUCUCUUAUUAGAGGCGAGCGAAAAGGGAAAAGACCAGCACAUAGAAUCGAGACGA